GGAAAAGUUGUUGUUGCUGGCUCCUAGGAAAGAGAAUGUGAGACUAGAUAUGCCACUGGCUGAGGGAAGCCAUGCAGAUACUCAUGGUCACUGGUGUCUGUCCUUGCACUGUGGAAGGAACAAUGGUGCAGCUUUACACACAAAGGUUUGGAAGGAGGAUUGAAUCAGAUAGGAACUGUGGCUAACAAGGUACCUGAUAAUGCUCCUGGAAUAAGAGAAUUGCUGAGAGAAGACCAAGGCGAUUAGGAGAUACACACAGUUAUGUUAGCAAAUCACUUUAAAAAAAAAAUAAAAUCAUUGGCCUUGAAAGAAGCCUGAAACAUUAGAGCAGAAGCAAGCACGAAGAAGGAGCUGUGGCAUCGUACGCCCCGUCUAACAAGGUAUUGAGCACCGAAGCCCAGGGGACUCCUGGCACUCUCGCUGUGAAGAUUAGACAAGAGCACUCGCGCAGGACACAGCAGGAAUAUGAAGGGACAUGAAGUGAGCAAUCCCAGCAGACAGCCUGUUGAAAUGUCAGUCAGGCACUCUGCCUCCACCACCUUUCACAGAGCUAAACAUCUCUUUAUGUCAGAACAAAUUGGGCAAUCCUCAAAUCUUUUUUUCCUCUCCCCUGACUUCAAUGCGGCGCCGAGCGCUGGGAAGGAGCGCGGGAGGGAGCGCGUACAGACAGUUCACUUCAGUUCACAUGAAAGCGCCCUGACACGCUACAAGGCUGAAUACUGAUAUUGGCAACUCUUACAAUCUUAUCAGAGAGGCAGGAGCAGCAGCAGCCGCCGAGCUGCAGACCUUCCCCUUUCCAAUUACGCCGGGUGGCUGCUCCUUUCCCAAGCAUCCCGCGACGUCCUUUGAAAGCGAACUCCUGGGCUUGAUCAAAGGCCACAAAAGCAAACACGGCCUUUCUGUAUUUAUGGGCAUAUUUACUUCUGUCAUCUUUUUCUUGUUUUCACUCCCACCUUCCCUCACUAGUCCAUUAAGGAAGUCUAAUUUUAACCAACAUCUAACACAGUGCUCAAACGCAGACUGGUGAGUAACCGCAAUCUUAUUUUAAAUUAUUUGCUUUCACUUACAAAAUUCUCUACAGGGUAUUUGGCUGGGGUUUUUGACUAAAAACCAUACACAGUAGGUUUUUUUGCAGGAGAACAACAAUAAAGAAACCUUCCCAUUAGAUAGUUCUUGGCAUGA
This is a long non-coding RNA of Melospiza melodia melodia, 1182 nucleotides long. RefSeq lists it as uncharacterized. The transcript has 3 exons. Lineage: Eukaryota; Metazoa; Chordata; Aves; Passeriformes; Passerellidae. The record is from RefSeq and is a predicted model, not a curated record.